This 474-nucleotide ribosomal RNA is filed under the name uncultured bacterium. RNAcentral describes it as "SSU rRNA". It matches the Rfam family "Bacterial small subunit ribosomal RNA", at positions 26 to 518 of the family's 1533-position model. The record is from RNAcentral.
AGGACGAACGCUGGCGGCGUGCUUAACACAUGCAAGUCGAGCGGAAAGGCCCUUCGGGGUACUCGAGCGGCGAACGGGUGAGUAACACGUGAGCAACCUGCCCUCAGCUCUGGGAUAGCUCCGGGAAACCGGAAUUAAUACCGGAUACGACUACGGCCGACAUCGGCUUUGGUGGAAAGGAUUUCCGGCUGAGGAUGGGCUCGCGGCCUAUCAGCUAGUUGGUGGGGUAAUGGCCCACCAAGGCGACGACGGGUAGCCGGCCUGAGAGGGCGACCGGCCACACUGGGACUGAGACACGGCCCAGACUCCUACGGGAGGCAGCAGUGGGGAAUAUUGCGCAAUGGGCGAAAGCCUGACGCAGCGACGCCGCGUGGGGGAUGAAGGCCUUCGGGUUGUAAACCCUUUCAGCAGGGACGAAGCGCAAGUGACGGUACCUGCAGAAGAAGCGCCGGCUAACUACGCGCCAGCAGCCGC